GUCCACGCCGUAAACGUUGGGCGCUAGGUGUGGGGGCCAUUCCACGGUCUCCGUGCCGCAGCUAACGCAUUAAGCGCCCCGCCUGGGGAGUACGGCCGCAAGGCUAAAACUCAAAGGAAUUGACGGGGGCCCGCACAAGCGGCGGAGCAUGUUGCUUAAUUCGAUGCAACGCGAAGAACCUUACCUAGGCUUGACAUGCACGGAAAUCUGUCAGAGAUGGCAGGUCCUUUAUCGGGUCGUGCACAGGUGGUGCAUGGUUGUCGU
This 264-nucleotide ribosomal RNA is filed under the name uncultured bacterium. Its description in RNAcentral is "partial 16S ribosomal RNA". It matches the Rfam family "Bacterial small subunit ribosomal RNA", at positions 793 to 1055 of the family's 1533-position model. The record is from RNAcentral.